RNAcentral lists this ribosomal RNA (442 nucleotides) under uncultured bacterium. Its description in RNAcentral is "partial 16S ribosomal RNA". It matches the Rfam family "Bacterial small subunit ribosomal RNA", at positions 338 to 795 of the family's 1533-position model. The record is from RNAcentral.
CCUACGGGAGGCUGCAGUGGGGAAUAUUGGGCAAUGGGCGCAAGCCUGACCCAGCAACGCCGCGUGAAGGAAGAAGGCUUUCGGGUUGUAAACUUCUUUUAAGAGGGAAGAGCAGAAGACGGUACCUCUUGAAUAAGCCACGGCUAACUACGUGCCAGCAGCCGCGGUAAUACGUAGGUGGCAAGCGGUGUCCGGAUUUACUGGGUGGAAAGGGCGUGCAGCCGGGAAGAAAAGUCAGAUGGGAAAUCCCGCGGCUCAACCGCGGAACUGCAUUUGAAACGGUUUUUCUUGAGUACCGGAGAGGUCAUCGGACUUCCUUGUGUAGCGGUGAAAUGCGUAGAUAUAAGGAAGAACCCCAGUGGCGAAGGCGGCUGACUGGACGGCAACUGACGGUGAGGCGCGAAAGCGUGGGGAGCAAACAGGAUUAGAUACCCCAGUAGUC